CCUACGGGAGGCAGCAGUGGGGAAUAUUGGACAAUGGGGGGAACCCUGAUCCACCCAUGCCGCGUGUGUGAAGAAGGCCCUCGGGUUGUAAAGCACUUUCAGUGAGGAAGAACGCCUGGUGGUUAAUACCCAUCAGGAAAGACAUCACUCACAGAAGAAGCACCGGCUAACUCCGUGCCAGCAGCCGCGGUAAUACGGAGGGUGCGAGCGUUAAUCGGAAUUACUGGGCGUAAAGCGCGCGUAGGUGGCUUGAUAAGCCGGUUGUGAAAGCCCCGGGCUCAACCUGGGAACGGCAUCCGGAACUGUCAAGCUAGAGUGCAGGAGAGGAAGGUAGAAUUCCCGGUGUAGCGGUGAAAUGCGUAGAGAUCGGGAGGAAUACCAGUGGCGAAGGCGGCCUUCUGGACUGACACUGACACUGAGGUGCGAAAGCGUGGGUAGCAAACAGGAUUAGAUACCCCUGUAGUC
RNAcentral lists this ribosomal RNA (465 nucleotides) under Vreelandella stevensii. Its description in RNAcentral is "partial 16S ribosomal RNA". It matches the Rfam family "Bacterial small subunit ribosomal RNA", at positions 338 to 795 of the family's 1533-position model. Lineage: Bacteria; Pseudomonadati; Pseudomonadota; Gammaproteobacteria; Oceanospirillales; Halomonadaceae. The record is from RNAcentral.